AGCAGCCGCGGUAAUUCCAGCUCCAAUAGCGUAUAUUAAAGUUGUUGCAGUUAAAAAGCUCGUAGUUGAAUUUCGGGGUCAGUAGGUUGGUCAUGCCACCGGUAUGUACUGGUCUCACUGAUUCCUCCUUCCUGAUGAACUGUAAUGCCAUUAAUUUGGUGUUGCAGGGAAUCUGGACUGUUACUUUGAAAAAUUAGAGUGUUUAAAGCAGGCUAACGCCUGAAUACAUUAGCAUGGAAUAAUGAAAUAGGACGUUCGAUCCUAUUUUGUUGGUUUCUAGGAUUGACGUAAUGAUUAAUAGGGAUAGUUGGGGGCAUUAGUAUUCAAUUGUCAGAGGUGAAAUUCUUGGAUUUAUUGAAGACUAACUACUGCGAAAGCAUUUGCCAAGGAUGUUUUCAUUAAUCAAGAACGAAAGUUAGGGGAUCGAAGACGAUCAGAUACCGUCGUAGU
RNAcentral lists this ribosomal RNA (450 nucleotides) under uncultured Glomus. RNAcentral describes it as "SSU rRNA". It matches the Rfam family "Eukaryotic small subunit ribosomal RNA", at positions 569 to 1024 of the family's 1831-position model. Lineage: Eukaryota; Fungi; Glomeromycota; Glomeromycetes; Glomerales; Glomeraceae. The record is from RNAcentral.